AAAUAUAGUUGUUUGAUGGUUUGAUUUAAUCCAUGCCAAUUACAUCAGUCAUGUGAUGACUGAUUAGAUCAGAUUUAAAUCCAAAUCUCUCUAUAAAUAUUAAGUCCUAGGUCUUCCACUGUUGUAGAUAUGCGGGUGUGCCACCAACAUUAAUUAUUCUCGACUGGUCACAGUGGUUCAGUUACAUCGAAAAUACGCAACUACUC
Molecule: long non-coding RNA, 206 nt
Filed under: Elaeis guineensis (African oil palm)
Lineage: Eukaryota; Viridiplantae; Streptophyta; Magnoliopsida; Arecales; Arecaceae
Description: long non-coding RNA (EGUI_LNC034885)
Source: RNAcentral